RNAcentral lists this transfer RNA (67 nucleotides) under Cladolidia robusta. Its description in RNAcentral is "tRNA-Gln". Lineage: Eukaryota; Metazoa; Arthropoda; Insecta; Hemiptera; Cicadellidae. The record is from RNAcentral.
UGUAAUAUAAUGUCUAUGCAUAUGAAUUUUUGAAUUUCAAUGUAAAACUUCAUUGUUUUUGUUACAG